GCAGCAGCCGCGGUAAUACGAAGGGUGCAAGCGUUACUCGGAAUUACUGGGCGUAAAGCGUGCGUAGGUGGUGGUUUAAGUCCGUUGUGAAAGCCCUGGGCUCAACCUGGGAAUUGCAGUGGAUACUGGGUCACUAGAGUGUGGUAGAGGAUAGUGGAAUUUCCGGUGUAGCAGUGAAAUGCGUAGAGAUCGGAAGGAACAUCUGUGGCGAAGGCGACUAUCUGGGCCAACACUGACACUGAGGCUCGAAAGCCAGGGGAGCGAACGGGAUUAGAUACCCCCGUAGUCCCUGUCUCUUAUAC
RNAcentral lists this ribosomal RNA (302 nucleotides) under uncultured bacterium. Its description in RNAcentral is "partial 16S ribosomal RNA". It matches the Rfam family "Bacterial small subunit ribosomal RNA", at positions 508 to 807 of the family's 1533-position model. The record is from RNAcentral.